CAGCUUUUAAAAGGCGGCGUAAAGCUGUCGCUAUGGGGAUGGGCCCCGCGGUGCAUUAGUCUAGUUGGUAAGGUAAAGGCGUUACCAAGGGCGAUGAUGCAUAGCCCGAGUUGAGAGACUGAUCGGCCACAUUGGGGACUGAGACACGGCCCAAACUCCUACGGGAGGCAGCAGUAGGGAAUCUUCCACAAUGGACGCAAGUCUGAUGGAGCAAACGCCGCGUGAGUGAAGAAGGUUUCGGAUCGUAAAGCUCUGUUGUUGGUGAAGAAGGAUAGAGGUAGUAACUGGCCCUUUAUUUGACGGUAAUCAACCAGAAAGUCACGGGCUAACUACGUGCCAGCAGCCGCGGUAAAU
RNAcentral lists this ribosomal RNA (354 nucleotides) under uncultured Lactobacillus sp. RNAcentral's name for it is "bacterial SSU rRNA". It matches the Rfam family "Bacterial small subunit ribosomal RNA", at positions 180 to 525 of the family's 1533-position model. Lineage: Bacteria; Bacillati; Bacillota; Bacilli; Lactobacillales; Lactobacillaceae. The record is from RNAcentral.